Molecule: ribosomal RNA, 596 nt
Filed under: Trichophyton interdigitale
Lineage: Eukaryota; Fungi; Ascomycota; Eurotiomycetes; Onygenales; Arthrodermataceae
Also listed under: 2 other names
Description: eukaryotic LSU rRNA
Rfam family: Eukaryotic large subunit ribosomal RNA
Source: RNAcentral
AUAUCAAUAAGCGGAGGAAAAGAAACCAACAGGGAUUGCCCCAGUAACGGCGAGUGAAGCGGCAAGAGCUCAAAUUUGAAAUCUGGCCUCCCCCGGGGGCCCGAGUUGUAAUUUGCAGAGGAUGCUUCGGGUGCGGCCGCCGUCUAAGUUCCUUGGAACAGGACGUCAGAGAGGGUGAGAAUCCCGUCUUGGGCGGGCGGUCCGCGCCCGUGUGAAGCUCCUUCGACGAGUCGAGUUGUUUGGGAAUGCAGCUCUAAGCGGGUGGUAAAUUUCAUCUAAAGCUAAAUAUUGGCCGGAGACCGAUAGCGCACAAGUAGAGUGAUCGAAAGGUUAAAAGCACCUUGAAAAGGGAGUUAAACAGCACGUGAAAUUGUUGAAAGGGAAGCGCUUGCGGCCAGACUCGGGGGCGGGGUUCAGCGGGUGCUCGUCGCCCGUGUAUUCCUCGUCUCCCGGGCCAGCAUCAGUUUCGACGGCCGGUCAAAGGCCCCCGGAAUGUGUCGUCUCUCGGGACGUCUUAUAGCCGGGGGUGCAAUGCGGCCCGUCGGGACUGAGGAACGCGCUCCGGCUCGGAUGCUGGCGUAAUGGCCGUAAGCGGC